RNAcentral lists this non-coding RNA (108 nucleotides) under Citrobacter freundii. RNAcentral describes it as "antisense sRNA RprA". It matches the Rfam family "RprA RNA". From Rfam's summary of the family: Translational regulation of the stationary phase sigma factor RpoS is mediated by the formation of a double-stranded RNA stem-loop structure in the upstream region of the rpoS messenger RNA, occluding the translation initiation site. Clones carrying rprA (RpoS regulator RNA A) increased the translation of RpoS. Lineage: Bacteria; Pseudomonadati; Pseudomonadota; Gammaproteobacteria; Enterobacterales; Enterobacteriaceae. RNAcentral also lists the same sequence under 1 other name. The record is from RNAcentral.
ACGGUUAUAGAUCAAGGCAUUGAUUUAUAAGCAUGGAAAUCCCCUGAGUGAAACAACGAAUUGCUGUGUGUAGUCUUUGCCCAUCUCCCACGAUGGGCUUUUUUUUUA